GGCUCUUUUCUUGACUCUAAAACGGUCUUGGAAUAAGGGGUGGGUAAGGACGGUGCCAGCCGCCGCGGUAAUACCGGCGCCUCAAGUGGUCGUCGCUUUUAUUGGGCCUAAAACGUCCGUAGCCGGUCUGGUGCAUUCGUGGGUAAAUCAACCCGCUCAACGGGUUGAAUUCUGCGAGCACGGCCAGACUUGGGACCGGGAGAGGUGUGGGGUACUCUCAGGGUAGGGGUAAAAUCCUGUCAUCCUGAGAGGACCACCUGUUGCGAAGGCGCCACACUAGAACGGAUCCGACGGUCAGGGACGAAACCUAGGGGCACGAACCGGAUUAGAUACCCGGGUAGUCCUAGGUGUAAACGCUGUGGACUUGAUGUUGGGGGCGCUCCGAGCGCUCUCAGUGUCGAAGCGAAGGUGAUAAGUCCACUGCCUGGGGAGUACGGUCGCAAGGCUGAAACUUAAAGGAAUUGGCGGGGGAGCACUGCAACCUGAGGAUUGUGCGGUUUAAUUGGAUUCAACGCCGGGAAU
Molecule: ribosomal RNA, 522 nt
Filed under: uncultured archaeon
Lineage: Archaea
Description: bacterial SSU rRNA
Rfam family: Archaeal small subunit ribosomal RNA
Source: RNAcentral